CAGAUCGGAGAAGGAGAACAAUCGUUUGUGCAUAAAAUCCAUGAAAUAACUGAUUAAAUAGAAACAAAGAUUCAGAAUCAAAUUUCUUUUGGAAUAAAAAUGGUGAAAGGAAAAAUGAAUCCCCCUAGAAAAGAUGAUACAAUUACAGGAAACCUAAGGCAGUCGUUGAAUGCAGUAAAGGAUUUAGUAAAGGUGAUAAAGCCUAUAGGACUGACUGAUAGGGC
Papaver somniferum (opium poppy) is the source of this 224-nucleotide long non-coding RNA. RefSeq lists it as uncharacterized. The transcript is spliced from 3 exons. NCBI's taxonomy places the organism in Eukaryota, Viridiplantae, Streptophyta, Magnoliopsida, Ranunculales, Papaveraceae. The record is from RefSeq and is a predicted model, not a curated record.